This 399-nucleotide ribosomal RNA is filed under the name marine Metazoa environmental sample. RNAcentral describes it as "SSU rRNA". It matches the Rfam family "Eukaryotic small subunit ribosomal RNA", at positions 587 to 972 of the family's 1831-position model. The record is from RNAcentral. Lineage: Eukaryota; Metazoa.
AGCUCCAAUAGCGUAUAUUAAAGUUGUUGCAGUUAAAAAGCUCGUAGUUGGAUUUCGGGAGGGGUCGGCCGGUCCGCCACAAGGUGUGCUACUGGUCGGCCCGUCCUUCCUGGCGCAGACUUCGUGUGUGGCGCAGACUUCGUGUGCUCUUCACUGAGUGUGCGGAGGAUUCGCCACGUUUACUUUGAAAAAAUUAGAGUGUUCAAAGCAGGCUCACCGGCUUGGAUACAUAAGCAUGGAAUAAUGGAAUAGGACUCUGGUUCUAUUUUGUUGGAUUCUGGACCCGGAGUAAUGAUUAAGAGGGACAGUUGGGGGCAUUCGUAUUUCGUUGUCAGAGGUGAAAUUCUUGGAUUUACGAAAGACGAACUACUGCGAAAGCAUUUGCCAAGAAUGUUUUCA